RNAcentral lists this ribosomal RNA (460 nucleotides) under uncultured bacterium. RNAcentral describes it as "partial 16S ribosomal RNA". It matches the Rfam family "Bacterial small subunit ribosomal RNA", at positions 338 to 795 of the family's 1533-position model. The record is from RNAcentral.
CCUACGGGUGGCAGCAGUGAGGAAUAUUGGUCAAUGGACGAGAGUCUGAACCAGCCAAGUAGCGUGAAGGAUGACUGCACUAUGGGUUGUAAACUUCUUUUAUAUGGGAAUAAAAUGUUCCACGUGUGGGAUUUUGUAUGUACCAUAUGAAUAAGGAUCGGCUAACUCCGGGCCAGCAGCCGCGGUAAUACGGAGGAUCCGGGCGUUAUCCGGAUUUAUUGGGUUUAAAGGGGGCGUAGGUGGAUUGUUAAGUCGGUUGUGAAAGUUUGCAGCUUAACCGUAAAAUUGCAGUUGAAACUGGCAGUCUUGAGUACAGUAGAGGUAAGCGGAAUUCGUGGUGUAGCGGUGGAAUGCGUAGAUAUUAGGAAGAACUCCGGUGGCGAAGGCAGCUCACUGGACUGCAACUGACACUGAGGCUCGAAAGUGUGGGUAGCAAACAGGAUUAGAUACCCCGGUAGUC